Molecule: ribosomal RNA, 497 nt
Filed under: uncultured bacterium
Lineage: Bacteria
Description: partial 16S ribosomal RNA
Rfam family: Bacterial small subunit ribosomal RNA
Source: RNAcentral
GAUGAACGCUGGCGGCGUGCCUAAUACAUGCAGGUCGAGCGAACGGACGAGAAGCUUGCUUCUCUGAUGUUAGCGGCGGACGGGUGAGUAACACGUGGAUAACCUACCUAUAAGACUGGGAUAACUUCGGGAAACCGGAGCUAAUACCGGAUAAUAUUUUGAACCGCAUGGUUCAAAAGUGAAAGACGGUCUUGCUGUCACUUAUAGAUGGAUCCGCGCUGCAUUAGCUAGUUGGUAAGGUAACGGCUUACCAAGGCAACGAUGCAUAGCCGACCUGAGAGGGUGAUCGGCCACACUGGAACUGAGACACGGUCCAGACUCCUACGGGAGGCAGCAGUAGGGAAUCUUCCGCAAUGGGCGAAAGCCUGACGGAGCAACGCCGCGUGAGUGAUGAAGGUCUUCGGAUCGUAAAACUCUGUUGUUAGGGAAGAACAUAUGUGUAAGUAACUGUGCACAUCUUGACGGUACCUAAUCAGAAAGCCACGGCUAACUACGUG